AAGUCGUAACAAGGUUUCCGUAGGUGAACCUGCGGAAGGAUCAUUACCACAUCCAAAAUCUUUUAUCAACCCACACAUGUGAAGUUAUGAUGAGGAACUUUUUUUUCUUCAAUCAUUUUGAACCCCUUUUGAACUCUUUGAAGUGAAAAAGCAAGACUAAACAAAAAUGAGAAAAGAGAAAACAACUUUUAACGGUGGAUCUCUUGGCUCGU
Molecule: unclassified non-coding RNA, 212 nt
Filed under: fungal sp.
Lineage: Eukaryota; Fungi
Description: partial internal transcribed spacer region
Rfam family: Eukaryotic small subunit ribosomal RNA (bases 1-46)
Source: RNAcentral